UGGGGAAUCUUCCGCAAUGGACGAAAGUCUGACGGAGCAACGCCGCGUGAGUGAAGAAGGCCUUCGGGUCGUAAAGCUCUGUUAUCGAGGAAGAACACUUCGUAUGUAAAUAAUGUACGGAGUUGACGGUACUCGAGGAGGAAGCCACGGCUAACUACGUGCCAGCAGCCGCGGUAAUACGUAGGUGGCGAGCGUUGUCCGGAAUUAUUGGGCGUAAAGCGCGCGUAGGCGGGAUAUUAAGUCUGCUCUAAAAGUGCGGGGCUUAACUCCGUAAUGGGGUGGAAACUAAUAUUCUUGAGUGCCGGAGAGGAAAGCGGAAUUCCCAGUGUAGCGGUGAAAUGCGUAGAUAUUGGGAGGAACACCAGUGGCGAAGGCGGCUUUCUGGACGGUGUCUGACGCUGAGGCGCGAAAGCCAGGGGAGCGAACGGG
This 429-nucleotide ribosomal RNA is filed under the name uncultured bacterium. Its description in RNAcentral is "bacterial SSU rRNA". It matches the Rfam family "Bacterial small subunit ribosomal RNA", at positions 355 to 776 of the family's 1533-position model. The record is from RNAcentral.